Molecule: long non-coding RNA, 1276 nt
Filed under: Gadus morhua (Atlantic cod)
Lineage: Eukaryota; Metazoa; Chordata; Actinopteri; Gadiformes; Gadidae
Description: lncRNA (ENSGMOG00000034767.1)
Source: RNAcentral
GGAAAAUAAUGGGAUGAGUUGCGUUGCUCAGAUGCUUUUGAGCAACACACUAAUUUGUUUCCCCAGAGCCUGCUGCACCUUCCGUGAGCAUUCAGGAGACAGGGAGGAACAUCACUCUGGUGGGGACGCGGCUGUGCUGGUCAGACGCCCUGCUCUACUGCAGAGACUCUCACUGGGACCUGCUGAGCCUCAGGGGCCCAGAAGACCAGGAGAUGGUUGAUGAGAUGGUUGAUGAGCUGGUGGCUCGCGCCCCCUUCCCACUAACCAGCCACCUCUGGGUGGGCCUGCGCAGGUCCCUUUCAGGAAGCACCUGGUUUUGGAUGUCCGCUGACCCGAUGGACUUCAGCCAAUGGGACGAAGGCUCAUACCAUUCCUCCCCCUGUGGGGGCGUGUCCAGCGUGGAACCUUCCACAUGGAGGCAGCGCUCCUGUGAAGAACAUCUUAACUUCAUCUGUUUCACAGGUCAGACAGAAGGAGUGAACAAGUUGCACUUUUAUAGUUCCACAAGAGAGAAUCAAGCUCGCUGCACCUUACUUGGCCGCCCUGGGGAAUAAAGCGGCAGAUUCUGAAGACGUCCUGAGGAUUGAAGGUUCUAAAUGAAGUAGCUCAGAGUGUCUGUUUUGUCUGCUAGCUGGUUCUGCAUUUUGUCAUUAUGGGCUUCAUGAAAGGCCACAUUUAUUCCCAGCAUAGCAUAAAGGAUAUAUUUACUUUGGUAUAUAAUCAAUAAACGUAUUUAUUAGCAGAUGUAGGUGCAUCAUUCCUUUGUUAAGAAAUGUGGAGAAUGUGAGUUCAAGAUGGUAUCAAAAGACUAGAUGAAGUAUCUGUUGGCUUUAUCUCUGUCUGGCUUGACUGAUGUGAUGUGUUUUAAUAAUGUUAACGCUUUAACCAGUAGUGAAUGUGCUGGUUUGUCUUUCUUUUGCAUAUGAAUGGAACGUAGAUAAUGUUCUUCAAUAAAAGUCUUCGCCGUUGUCCACAAAUUCCUUGCGGGUACUGUGUUUGUUUUUAUCCCCCUGUCGCACGGAAGUGACGAUUCUGUCGACCAAUCAACGAACGGCGCGUGUAUCUUGAAGGCGUUGGCACCCUUUCAGACGUCUCUGUACCCCAACGGAGGAGUACUGCGAGAUGAGGACGGCUCAUCAUGGCUCAGUCUGGACCCCGCCCACUUUAGUUAUUUUCACACCUUUGCACAUCGAACCAACCCGCACCCGCUGGGGGUAACGCGCCAUAAUAUUUAUGUAUAUAUUUUCAUUUGGGGGAGGGCGUCUUCAAACAGUGA